Oreochromis aureus is the source of this 2059-nucleotide long non-coding RNA. RefSeq lists it as uncharacterized. The record is from RefSeq and is a predicted model, not a curated record. Lineage: Eukaryota; Metazoa; Chordata; Actinopteri; Cichliformes; Cichlidae. The transcript is spliced from 4 exons.
AGCGAAGGCAGGAGCGUGAGGUGAACUGAAUUUCAGGGAAGCCAAUGGAGAGGUCCACAGUGAUGCGUAACCUCAAUAAAUAUUGCAGAUCCACAGAGACAUCCCCCAAUUUGUCCGCUGGUGAUUCAUCUGGGAACUAAUAGUGGAAGACAAUAAGCAGUGAGAGGGACCAUCUGAAAGACAUCAGUAAACAUGUUACAUCUUCAGCCAAUUUCAUAUUGUCCAUCAGGAAUAGAAGCCGAGGAGGAUGCAGUCUCCUCGCUGUAGGAUGAGCAAUGACAGUACCAGACACCCUUCAGGAAUCUAGUGGAGCUUCCAAAAUUGAGUUGCCAUAUGGCACUGAUGCUUAAAAAUUGUCUUGAGACAGGUAACAGCAUCAACUCAUAUGUCAUGCCUGUCAGCUACAUUGACUUGCUGUUAAAACUUUGAUAAUGACCUCCAUCAACAUCGGUUGAGUAUUAGAAGAGGAGCAAAACAAUUGAAAGAAGACCAAAGUCAUCAUUAGGGGGAUUUUAGGUUGAGAUCCUCUUGCUGAAUCCUCAGGCCAUCAAAUUGAGGAUUUAGAAGGCCUUAGGCGGCAGUUAUGGCUCCCUACAGAAGCUUCCUCGUGAUGCCGAGUGGCGACUCUUGAAGGUCGGGGGAGGAAAACCAAUUUGCAGGAAAAAAAAAAAGGUUAUUUCAAAAACCCUGGCGAACGACCGCAGCUCACUUUGAAAUGGAGCAUCAAUCAAGCCUCUUGCUCUCUUUGCUGUAAUUACUGGGAAAUGUUAUAAAUUUUGGGAAGUUUUGAGCGCUGAAAACAUUGAAGGAUAAACACGUUUUUUGUACCAGGAGAGAGUGAGUCACCCAGUAAGGUGAAUUAUUGAGACAUGAUAAAGUUUGAGUUACUGCUCUUAAUAAAGUGGGUUCUUUUUCAAAGUAACUGACAAGCAUAUAGAUUCUACCUUUUUGUGUAGUGUUAAUAUGUUAAAAUUAAAGUAAAUGCAUGCUAGGUCUGCUGCUAGGAUGAUGUGAGUUUGAGCAGUAAAAUCAUCCACACCCUCGCACAUGUGCAGAUUACAUUAUGCUUCCAGUCCUACCACAGAAAACCUGUGUAAUUUAUAGGCAAAUAAAUCUAUCCCCUUCCUUACAAUUAAACCCUCAACUCUAAAGGGUGGCACAAGAGAGGUCUCGUUUCAAAAAAAAAAAGAAGAAGAAAAGAAAAAGGAAGAAAUAGAGCGAGCCUUAGCUCCAUCCUAAAUCACUCACCACAGCAAAGCUGCAUUCUCCGACUUUCCUCCAGAGCUUUCUCUGCUAGUAUUGAACACCGAAUAAUCGCAAGCCUGCAUGGAACAACUAUGUAUAUUGCAUCAACAUUAAAGCACGCAUCUGUCACAUCCCCAGUGAAUGAGGAGGUUAUUUGUGAGCCAAGCUGAGAUGCUGAUGGUGUUCAGCUGACAGGUGGCUGGAGUGAUGAUGGAGGUGUGGAAGCCACAUGCUAAACAGAGCAUCAAGACGCUGUUCGCCGAACAGUCUUACUGACUCGGUUUGCAUUUGUAGAUAUAAAACAUUUUAUAGUGAUGAGAUUUUUUUUUUACACAACCACAAAUAUGAAGUUGAAAUAAACAAACUGAAAUUCAUCAAAACACAAAGGAAAUGCCUUAGAUAUUUCUCUUACUGCAGAAAAUCUAACCCAGUUAAUGUUGCGCCACAAUAAAAAAACACUACAGUUUAAAGAACAUGGAUGUUCAUGUUCAUCUUUGGCACACUGGGUCAGUUUAUUUAUUUGACUUCCCAACAGCAUGGUGUUGACUGUGAAAUUCCGUGUGCAGAUUUAGUCAUUUGGCAAAAAAAGGCAACAGCCAGAAAAUUAAAUUAAAUAUGGUCUGUUUUUGACCAGGACGAGGGCUACAAAGGCAGAUGGUCAUGUUAAAUAUGGCCAAGCAUUCAAAGAAAUAGGUCAGUGUGUGUGGGCCAAGUAUCUCUAUGCUAAGCUCACUAGCAUCACAUAGAAAUAAAACUAGCGACAGGUGAAUUUCCAGGGCCUGCACGACUGGGGCUUUGGCAGUCAUUUUCCAUC